RNAcentral lists this unclassified non-coding RNA (253 nucleotides) under Alphaproteobacteria bacterium. RNAcentral's name for it is "contains 16S-23S intergenic spacer region". It matches the Rfam family "Bacterial small subunit ribosomal RNA", at positions 524 to 776 of the family's 1533-position model. The record is from RNAcentral. Lineage: Bacteria; Pseudomonadati; Pseudomonadota; Alphaproteobacteria.
UACGAAGGGUGCUAGCGUUGUUCGGAAUUACUGGGCGUAAAGCGCACGUAGGCGGACUAUUAAGUCAGGGGUGAAAUCCCGGGACUCAACCCCGGAACUGCCUUUGAUACUGGAAGGCUUGAUUCCGAGAGAGGUGAGUGGAAUUCCGAGUGUAGAGGUGAAAUUCGUAGAUAUUCGGAAGAACACCAGUGGCGAAGGCGGCUCACUGGCUCGGUACUGACGCUGAGGUGCGAAAGCGUGGGGAGCAAACAGG